GACGAACGCUGGCGGCGUGCUUAACACAUGCAAGUCGAACGAGAAGAGAUGAGAAGCUUGCUUCUUAUCGAUUCGAGUGGCAAACGGGUGAGUAACGCGUAAGCAACCUGCCCUUCAGAUGGGGACAACAGCUGGAAACGGCUGCUAAUACCGAAUACGUUCUUUUUGUCGCAUGGCAGAGGGAAGAAAGGGAGGCUCUUCGGAGCUUUCGCUGAAGGAGGGGCUUGCGUCUGAUUAGCUAGUUGGAGGGGUAACGGCCCACCAAGGCGACGAUCAGUAGCCGGUCUGAGAGGAUGAACGGCCACAUUGGGACUGAGACACGGCCCAGACUCCUACGGGAGGCAGCAGUGGGGAAUAUUGCACAAUGGGGGAAACCCUGAUGCAGCGACGCCGCGUGGAGGAAGAAGGUCUUCGGAUUGUAAACUCCUGUUGUUGGGGAAGAUAAUGACGGUACCCAACAAGGAAGUGACGGCUAACUACGUG
RNAcentral lists this ribosomal RNA (483 nucleotides) under uncultured bacterium. RNAcentral describes it as "bacterial SSU rRNA". It matches the Rfam family "Bacterial small subunit ribosomal RNA", at positions 28 to 507 of the family's 1533-position model. The record is from RNAcentral.